AUGACAGCAACUUUCAUUAGGAGGUCUCGGAUCCGAUGGGUUAACCAACUAAUGCACUCUGACAGGAAGGAAUGGAACGAGGAGCUAGUUAGACAAAUCUUCUACCCUUUCGAUGCAGAUGAGAUUUGUAAAAUCCGAAUUCCAUCCUCGGAUGUGGAAGAUCGGAUUGCUUGGCACUAUGAGAAAAGUGGUGAAUUUUCAGUAAGAAGUGCCUAUAAACUUGCAGCGGCAAGCCUUCCCCAACUAGCUCAAAACCCCUCAAGCUCGUCUUCAGACCCGAACGAUCGUAGCAUAUGGGAUCUCAUUUGGAAAGCAAAAGUGCCAGGUAAAGUACGUAUAUUCGGGUGGAGGGUGGCUACAAAUACCCUUGCUACUAAGGAAAACAAGUGGAAAAGAACACUUGAACUAGACGCUACCUGCAACAUUUGUGGAAAUGUGACUGAAACUGAACAUCACGCGGUGGUCAUGUGCACAAAAAGCAGAGCAUUGAGGGAAGCCAUGAGGAAGGUAUGGAAUCUGCCUAAUGAAAACAGAUUUUGGUACACAGGUGAGAACUGGCUACAAACUGUGCUACAUACAGAAAAUGAGGAAAUGCGCGCCAAAAUCCUGCUGUUGUUCUGGAGGUGCUGGCAUAUGAGAGAAGACUGUAUCCGAAAUAAUGGCAGGGAAUCAAUCUGUGGCUCAGUACAGUUCCUGAAGCAGUAUGAGGAGGAGUUGAAAAAUGCAGAGAUGAAAGAUGUUUGGUCGGGUGGAAAAGAUGCAGCAUCAGUUCAUGGUACUAGCGCCUGGGUUGAUGCACUCCCUGGAAGUGCUGCUGCAGGCACCGAUGGUAAAUGGAUCCCGCCAAUUAGAGGGGUGGUAAAAGUGAACACCGACGCUGCCGUUCGAGCCGAUAUCGGGGAAAGCGCUGCUGGAGCUGUUGGCCGAGACUACCGAGGCUCAGUCCUCAUGUCUAUCUGCAAGCGGAUGCCUCAAUGCCACACUGCGGAAGAGGCUGAAGCCCGAGCCAUUCUGGUCGGCUUGCAGGCCAUAUCCGGUCUGUUUAAUGGUCAAGUGAUCCUAGAAACAGAUAACCAAUGA
Molecule: ribosomal RNA, 1080 nt
Filed under: Triticum aestivum (bread wheat)
Lineage: Eukaryota; Viridiplantae; Streptophyta; Magnoliopsida; Poales; Poaceae
Description: partial small subunit ribosomal RNA
Source: RNAcentral